RNAcentral lists this ribosomal RNA (499 nucleotides) under uncultured Glomeromycotina. RNAcentral's name for it is "partial small subunit ribosomal RNA". It matches the Rfam family "Eukaryotic small subunit ribosomal RNA", at positions 591 to 1092 of the family's 1831-position model. The record is from RNAcentral. Lineage: Eukaryota; Fungi; Glomeromycota.
CCAAUAGCGUAUAUUAAAGUUGCUGCAGUUAAAAAGCUCGUAGUUGAAUUUCGGGAUCAGACUGUCGGUCGUGCCUCGGUACGUACUGGCAUCAUUGGUUUCUCCUUUCUGAAGAACCGCGAUGUCAUUUAUUUGGUGUCGCGGGGAAUCAGGACUGUUACUUUGAAAAAAUUAGAGUGUUUAAAGCAGGCUUACGCUUGAAUACAUUAGCAUGGAAUAAUGAAAUAGGACGUUUGAUUCUAUUUUGUUGGUUUCUAGGAUCGACGUAAUGAUUAAUAGGGAUAGUUGGGGGCAUUAGUAUUCAAUUGUCAGAGGUGAAAUUCUUGGAUUUAUUGAAGACUAACUACUGCGAAAGCAUUUGCCAAGGAUGUUUUCAUUAAUCAAGAACGAAAGUUAGGGGAUCGAAGACGAUCAGAUACCGUCGUAGUCUUAACCAUAAACUAUGCCGACUAGGGAUCGGAUGAUGUUAAUUUUUUAAUGACUCAUUCGGCGCCUUACG